CCUACGGGAGGCUGCAGUAGGGAAUAUUGCUCAAUGGGGGAAACCCUGAAGCAGCAACGCCGCGUGGAGGAUGAAGGUUUUCGGAUUGUAAACUCGUUUUGUUAGAGAAGAUAAUGACGGUAUCUAACGAAUAAGCACCGGCUAACUCCGUGCCAGCAGCCGCGGUAAUACGGAGGGUGAAAGCGUUACUCGGAAUCACUGGGCGUAAAGAGCGCGUAGGCGGGAUAGCAAGUCAGAUGUGAAAUCCUAUGGCUUAACCAUAGAACUGCAUGUGAAACUGUUAUUCUAGAGUGUGGGGUAGGUAGGUGGAAUUCUUGGUGUAGGGGUAAAAUCCGUAGAGAUCAAGAGGAAUACUCAUUGCGAAGGCGACCUGCUAGAACAUAACUGACGCUGAUGCGCGAAAGCGUGGGGAGCAAACAGGAUUAGAUACCCGAGUAGUC
RNAcentral lists this ribosomal RNA (440 nucleotides) under uncultured bacterium. RNAcentral's name for it is "partial 16S ribosomal RNA". It matches the Rfam family "Bacterial small subunit ribosomal RNA", at positions 338 to 795 of the family's 1533-position model. The record is from RNAcentral.